Molecule: ribosomal RNA, 465 nt
Filed under: Vreelandella stevensii
Lineage: Bacteria; Pseudomonadati; Pseudomonadota; Gammaproteobacteria; Oceanospirillales; Halomonadaceae
Description: partial 16S ribosomal RNA
Rfam family: Bacterial small subunit ribosomal RNA
Source: RNAcentral
CCUACGGUCGGCAGCAGUGGGGAAUAUUGGACAAUGGGGGGAACCCUGAUCCAGCCAUGCCGCGUGUGUGAAGAAGGCCCUCGGGUUGUAAAGCACUUUCAGUGAGGAAGAACGCCUGGUGGUUAAUACCCAUCAGGAAAGACAUCACUCACAGAAGAAGCACCGGCUAACUCCGUGCCAGCAGCCGCGGUAAUACGGAGGGUGCGAGCGUUAAUCGGAAUUACUGGGCGUAAAGCGCGCGUAGGUGGCUUGAUAAGCCGGUUGUGAAAGCCCCGGGCUCAACCUGGGAACGGCAUCCGGAACUGUCAAGCUAGAGUGCAGGAGAGGAAGGUAGAAUUCCCGGUGUAGCGGUGAAAUGCGUAGAGAUCGGGAGGAAUACCAGUGGCGAAGGCGGCCUUCUGGACUGACACUGACACUGAGGUGCGAAAGCGUGGGUAGCAAACAGGAUUAGAUACCCGAGUAGCC